UAAUAAGUGUUUUAUGGCACUUUUUAAAUCCAUAUCCACCUUGUGUGCAAUGUCGGUCGAUCUUCUUCUUGAGGAUCGACCAAACAUCAACCUUUAUUUUUUAACUCUUUGUCUGAAAAAUAUUAUGAAUAAACAAUUCAAAAUA
This 145-nucleotide unclassified non-coding RNA is filed under the name soil metagenome. RNAcentral's name for it is "partial internal transcribed spacer 1". The record is from RNAcentral.